UUGCAAAUUUGUUGUAUAUAUUUCAUUUCAGUAGCACAUCACAUGAAUUACAAUACAUCAUCUAUCGACUCCUCUACACAUAAAGGUUUAAGGCCCAACAAGUGCACAACAAAAUAGUUCUACAAGUGCAGGUGCACAACAAAAGGGCUCAACAAGUGCAUAAUCACACAUCAACAUAGUUCGACAAAGAUUGGAUGAG
RNAcentral lists this long non-coding RNA (199 nucleotides) under Hordeum vulgare. RNAcentral describes it as "long non-coding RNA (HVUL_LNC008201)". Lineage: Eukaryota; Viridiplantae; Streptophyta; Magnoliopsida; Poales; Poaceae. The record is from RNAcentral.